RNAcentral lists this ribosomal RNA (277 nucleotides) under Lachnospiraceae bacterium RM5. Its description in RNAcentral is "23S rRNA. Bacterial LSU". It matches the Rfam family "Bacterial large subunit ribosomal RNA", at positions 2646 to 2925 of the family's 2925-position model. The record is from RNAcentral. Lineage: Bacteria; Bacillati; Bacillota; Clostridia; Lachnospirales; Lachnospiraceae.
CGUGGGCGUAGGAUAUUUGAGAGGAGCUGUCCUUAGUACGAGAGGACCGGGAUGGACUGACCUCUGGUGCAUCUGUUGUUUUACCAAAAGCACGGCAGAGUAGCCAAGUCGGGACGGGAUAAACGCUGAAGGCAUCUAAGCGUGAAGCCCCCCUCAAGAUGAGAUAUCCCAUACGCAAGUAGUAAGACCCCUUGAAGACGACAAGGUUGAUAGGUCAGAGGUGGAAGUGCAGUAAUGUAUGCAGCUGACUGAUACUAAUAGGUCGAGGGCUUGACCA